GGGCUAGUCUUAUCGGCAAAAGCGUAAAGGGUGUGAUAGGCCGCUUUAUUUAAGAGAGUAAAUGGAAUUUUUCUGUAAUGGUGGUAUGUGUAAAUAGGAAAAAGAACUUUAGACGUGAAGACUAUUUACUUCUAAGAUUAUAAUGUGUUGGCUAAAACACGAGAGUAUGGGGAGCAAACAGGAUUAGGUACCCUGGUAGUCCAUACUGUAAAUAAUGAAAAAGAUGUGAAGCAAUUCUAAAAGGUAAGAACUUUUCCGCUUGAGUAGUACGAUCGCAAGAUUAAAAUUCAAAAAACUUGGCUGUUCACUGUUUUGAUUAGAGGAGCGUGUCGUUUAAUUCGAUAGUCCGCGAGAGACCUUACCCAAAUUUGAAUCCCUCAUUGACAGGUAUU
This 392-nucleotide ribosomal RNA is filed under the name Bernardpora stutchburyi. Its description in RNAcentral is "SSU rRNA". It matches the Rfam family "Bacterial small subunit ribosomal RNA", at positions 532 to 1002 of the family's 1533-position model. Lineage: Eukaryota; Metazoa; Cnidaria; Anthozoa; Scleractinia; Poritidae. The record is from RNAcentral.